UGCGAGGUAACUCAAUUGGUAGAGUGCUGUCCUGUUAAGUCAGAAGUCGUGGGUUCGAAUCCCACUCUCGCAGCUA
This 76-nucleotide transfer RNA is filed under the name Dehalococcoidia bacterium. Its description in RNAcentral is "tRNA-Asn". It matches the Rfam family "tRNA". Rfam says of the family: Transfer RNA (tRNA) molecules are approximately 80 nucleotides in length. Their secondary structure includes four short double-helical elements and three loops (D, anti-codon, and T loops). Further hydrogen bonds mediate the characteristic L-shaped molecular structure. tRNAs have two regions of fundamental functional importance: the anti-codon, which is responsible for specific mRNA codon recognition, and the 3' end, to which the tRNAs corresponding amino acid is attached (by aminoacyl-tRNA synthetases). tRNAs cope with the degeneracy of the genetic code in two manners: having more than one tRNA (with a specific anti-codon) for a particular amino acid; and 'wobble' base-pairing, i.e. permitting non-standard base-pairing at the 3rd anti-codon position. Lineage: Bacteria; Bacillati; Chloroflexota; Dehalococcoidia. The record is from RNAcentral.